RNAcentral lists this ribosomal RNA (460 nucleotides) under uncultured bacterium. RNAcentral describes it as "partial 16S ribosomal RNA". It matches the Rfam family "Bacterial small subunit ribosomal RNA", at positions 338 to 795 of the family's 1533-position model. The record is from RNAcentral.
CCUACGGGUGGCAGCAGUGAGGAAUAUUGGUCAAUGGACGAGAGUCUGAACCAGCCAAGUAGCGUGAAGGAUGACUGCCCUAUGGGUUGUAAACUUCUUUUAUAUGGGAAUAAAAUGUUCCACGUGUGGGAUUUUGUAUGUACCAUAUGAAUAAGGAUCGGCUAACUCUGUGCCAGCAGCCGCGGUAAUAUGGAGGAUCCGAGCGUUAUCCGGAUUUAUUGGGUUUAAAGGGAGCGUAGGUGGAUUGUUAAGUCAGUUGUGAAAGUUUGCGGCUCAACCGUAAAAUUGCAGUUGAAACUGGCAGUCUUGAGUACAGUAGAGGUGGGCGGAAUUCGUGGUGUAGCGGUGAAAUGCUUAGAUAUCACGAAGAACUCCGAUUGCGAAGGCAGUUCACUGGACUGCAACUGACACUGAGGCUCGAAAGUGUGGGUAUCAAACAGGAUUAGAUACCCGAGUAGUC